AACGAACGCUGGCGGCAUGCCUAACACAUGCAAGUCGAACGAGAUCUUCGGGUCUAGUGGCGCACGGGUGCGUAACGCGUGGGAAUCUGCCCUUUGGUUCGGAAUAACAGUUGGAAACGGCUGCUAAAACCGGAUGAUGACGAAAGUCCAAAGAUUUAUCGCCAGAGGAUGAGCCCGCGUAGGAUUAGCUAGUCAGUGUGGUAAAGGCGCACCAAGGCGACGAUCCUUAGCUGGUCUGAGAGGAUGAUCAGCCACACUGGGACUGAGACACGGCCCAGACUCCUACGGGAGGCAGCAGUGGGGAAUAUUGGACAAUGGGCGAAAGCCUGAUCCAGCAAUGCCGCGUGAGUGAUGAAGGCCUUAGGGUUGUAAAGCUCUUUUACCCGGGAUGAUAAUGACAGUACCGGGAGAAUAAGCUCCGGCUAACUCCGUGCCAGCCGCCGCAGUAA
This 449-nucleotide ribosomal RNA is filed under the name uncultured bacterium. RNAcentral describes it as "partial 16S ribosomal RNA". It matches the Rfam family "Bacterial small subunit ribosomal RNA", at positions 29 to 523 of the family's 1533-position model. The record is from RNAcentral.